CCUACGGGUGGCUGCAGUGGGGAAUAUUGCACAAUGGGCGCAAGCCUGAUGCAGCCAUGCCGCGUGUGUGAAGAAGGCCUUCGGGUUGUAAAGCACUUUCAGCGGGGAGGAAGGCGGUGAGGUUAAUAACCUCAUCGAUUGACGUUACCCGCAGAAGAAGCACCGGCUAACUCCGUGCCAGCAGCCGCGGUAAUACGGAGGGUGCAAGCGUUAAUCGGAAUUACUGGGCGUAAAGCGCACGCAGGCGGUCUGUCAAGUCGGAUGUGAAAUCCCCGGGCUCAACCUGGGAACUGCAUUCGAAACUGGCAGGCUAGAGUCUUGUAGAGGGGGGUAGAAUUCCAGGUGUAGCGGUGAAAUGCGUAGAGAUCUGGAGGAAUACCGGUGGCGAAGGCGGCCCCCUGGACAAAGACUGACGCUCAGGUGCGAAAGCGUGGGGAGCAAACAGGAUCAGAUACCCCGGUAGUC
This 465-nucleotide ribosomal RNA is filed under the name uncultured Klebsiella sp. RNAcentral describes it as "bacterial SSU rRNA". It matches the Rfam family "Bacterial small subunit ribosomal RNA", at positions 338 to 795 of the family's 1533-position model. The record is from RNAcentral. Lineage: Bacteria; Pseudomonadati; Pseudomonadota; Gammaproteobacteria; Enterobacterales; Enterobacteriaceae.